This 138-nucleotide small nucleolar RNA is filed under the name Prolemur simus (greater bamboo lemur). RNAcentral's name for it is "Small nucleolar RNA SNORA47 (ENSPSMG00000021800.1)". It matches the Rfam family "Small nucleolar RNA SNORA47". Lineage: Eukaryota; Metazoa; Chordata; Mammalia; Primates; Lemuridae. The record is from Rfam by way of RNAcentral.
UGGAGGGCUGAGAAGGUGAGGCAGUUCUACACUGUGCUGUCUUCCACUGGUUAAGUCCUCCGAAAGUGAAGGGCUGCCCAGGCAGAGGAUGUCCCUCUGCCACUCUCAGAGGGGCAGCGCUGUGCUGGCCGACAUUUG